This 266-nucleotide ribosomal RNA is filed under the name uncultured bacterium. RNAcentral describes it as "partial small subunit ribosomal RNA". It matches the Rfam family "Bacterial small subunit ribosomal RNA", at positions 26 to 285 of the family's 1533-position model. The record is from RNAcentral.
AGGACGAACGCUGGCGGCGUGCUUAACACAUGCAAGUGGAGCGACGAACCGGGGCUUGCCCCGGGGCAGAGCCGCGAACGGGUGAGUAACACGUGGGUAACCUACCUCGAUGACCGGGACAACCCGAGGAAACUCGGGCUAAUACCGGAUGUGAUCCUCUCCUUUAAGGGAGUUGAUGAAAGAUAGCUUUGGCUUUCGCAUCGAGACGGGCCCGCGGCCCAUUAGCUUGUUGGUGGGGUAACGGCUCACCAAGGCGACGACGGGUA